This 441-nucleotide ribosomal RNA is filed under the name uncultured bacterium. RNAcentral's name for it is "partial 16S ribosomal RNA". It matches the Rfam family "Bacterial small subunit ribosomal RNA", at positions 338 to 795 of the family's 1533-position model. The record is from RNAcentral.
CCUACGGGAGGCAGCAGUCGGGAAUAUUGCACAAUGGAGGAAACCCUGAUGCAGCAACGCCGCGUGCGUGAAGAAGUAUUUCGGUAUGUAAAGCGCUAUCAGCAGGGAAGAAGAAAGACGGUACCUGACUAAUAAGCCCCGGCUAACUACGUGCCAGCAGCCGCGGUAAUACGUAGGGGGCAAGCGUUAUCCGGAUUUACUGGGUGUAAAGGGAGCGUAGCCGGCUGUACAAGUCUGAUGUGAAAGCCCGUGGCUUAACCGCGGAACUGCUUUUGAAACUGUAUAGCUUGAGUACUGGAGAGGCAGACGGAAUUCCUAGUGUAGCGGUGAAAUGCGUAGAUAUUAGGAGGAACACCAGUGGCGAAGGCGGCCUGCUGGACAGCAACUGACGGUGAGGCUCGAAAGCGUGGGGAGCAAACAGGAUUAGAUACCCGUGUAGUC